CCUGUGCAACUGAAUUCUAGAUGCCUAGGGUAUGUUGCUGUCCACUCUCCAUAAAAUCGGCACCGGUAGCUUCUUCACCACCGACUUAUAUACCUACGUCUGCACCUUCAGCAGUCUCGCUGCCGACUUCAGCGUAAUCCCGACGCCUAUGUAAAACCGGCAAAUCGAAGCGUAUUCGUCGACGACUCCGAGUCCGAAUGUGCAACAUGGUUGUUUAUGUUGUAUCGAAGCCGACACAGAGAUCGCAUCCUCUCUCUCUCUCUCUCUCUCUCUAAACCUCUCUCCCCGCCCACUUCCCCAAAACCCUAAUGAGGCCCCCUCUCUCCCACCUCCUCCGCCUCCUCUCCCUCCGAAACCCUAGCCCCUCCCUCCUCUCCUCUCCCUUCGCCUCCUUCUCCUCCCUCGCCCCUCCUCCCCCCUCGCCCCGCGUCGCCGCACUCGUCGACGAGAUCUCCUCCCUCACCCUCCUCGAAGCCGCCGACCUCACCGAAGCCCUCCGCGCCCGCCUCGGCGUCGACCAGAUGCCCGCCAUGGCCAUCCUCACCCCCGGCAUGUCCCCCGCCGCCGCCGCCGCCGCCGUAGGAGGCGGCGCCGCCGCGGCGGAGGAGAAGAAGGAGGAGAAGACCGCGUUCGAUCUGAAGCUCGAGAGCUUCGACGCCGCGGCGAAGAUCAAGAUCAUCAAGGAGGUGAGGACGUUCACGGAUCUAGGGCUCAAGGAGGCGAAGGAGCUCGUGGAGAAGGCCCCCGCGGUGCUGAAGAAGGGGGUGGCGAAGGAGGAGGCGGAGAAGAUCGUGGAGAAGAUGAAGGUUAUCGGCGCUAAGGUCGUUUUGGAGUGAGGAACCAUCAAUCUACAAGGGAAAGAUGAGUCGGUCCUUGAAAUUCCUUGGAUGGAGAAAAAAUUGUUGGGUAUUGCGAGUGCUUUGAGAGAAAGGAGCAGUAUAAAGUUGACAUUAGAGGAGACGGUGAAGAAAAACACGACAAAAAUUACAAAACAGAAAUUAGAGGGGAAAUAGGAUCCAUAUAAAGCUGAUUCCAAUAAUAAUUGGAACUUUAUGUUUUGUUUUUUUCUUAUUUAAUUAUAUGGUGUUUUCUUAUCUUACAAAUCUUAGUUAGGAGAUAUGUUUUAAAAAUAUUCUUUGGAUAAAUGUCCAUUUCUAGUUAGUGUAGUUACUUGUCCUGAAUGACAGCCUUUCAUUAAUUUUUUCCUUCAUUAUCUUAUGGACAAUUAACUGUUUCAUUUCAGGUUUGUAUAGUGUAGUUUUUCUUUUUAUGAUGAAAAGAGAGAAAUAAUGACCUUACAGCUAUGGAGAGUGUAAAAGGCGCUUCUUGAAGAUGCUUGGCGCAUGAUUUCUGUUCGAAGCGGAAUUCGAUUUUGAUCCCGGCCAUGCUGUCUGAAGGGAGAGUUACCUACCAAAUUGGCCAGUAAGCAAUGCAUAUGAUUGCUAACAAAUUUGCAGUAUUUGUUGGGACCUUCCUGUGUACUCAGUAGCAGCAAUACUCUUUUCUUUUUUGGAAUUGUAUUCUUUUCUCACAACAGAAGCACCCCCCAAAAAAAAGGAGGGAAUAACACUCCCCACUGGAACUUAUGUAAAGAUGCUAUUUGAGUAGGAUAGUGGAAAAGGCAUUAUCUUUUUUUUCUUUUUGAACAAAUUGGUUUUAUAGAGCAGAAGCUUCUGAUA
RNA transcript from Ananas comosus (pineapple), 1679 nucleotides. It is a transcript of the gene named 50S ribosomal protein L7/L12, with no coding region annotated. The transcript has 3 exons. NCBI's taxonomy places the organism in Eukaryota, Viridiplantae, Streptophyta, Magnoliopsida, Poales, Bromeliaceae. The record is from RefSeq and is a predicted model, not a curated record.